GGUGACCAAAGCUGAGGUAAGUUGUUGUCUUACCCAGGAUUAUGGUCAUCAUGUUAGCACAGAUCUGAACAAGCAUGACCCAUCAGGUGGGACCUGCAGGCACUAACCUAGUAGCACUCUGUCCCUGCAAAGACACAGGCUCUUUCCUCUGUCUUCAAAACUCAGAUCUGAUGUCACCUCACCAUGAUGUUAGGCUUCCCGAAUCUUAGAAUUACUCACAUAAGACCACCUCACUGCAAAGCAAAUGAAAAGUGCAAGUUUCCAUGUGUCUAGAAGGACAAGGUAACAAGAUAUCUCCAUCAUUCUUUGUAAAUGCACCAAGUUGGGGUAAAAAUUCCCUGGCCCUGUAUGAAUGCUUUGGUUGGUCUCCUGUUUUUCCUGCUUGCUUACAGGUGUCUUACAUAUGAAAAAUCACUCUGUCCAUUUGAAAGAGGAGAUCUAUUACAAAAGAUCAUCAAAGGCCAAGUAGAGAAAACAUACUUGAUGUUUAUAAGAGACUAUCAAUGGCAAACAGAGAGUCACAGUUAUGAUGAUGA
Lynx canadensis (Canada lynx) is the source of this 536-nucleotide long non-coding RNA. RefSeq lists it as uncharacterized. The transcript is spliced from 5 exons. NCBI's taxonomy places the organism in Eukaryota, Metazoa, Chordata, Mammalia, Carnivora, Felidae. The record is from RefSeq and is a predicted model, not a curated record.